CUCCUCCCCACCUUCUCCCGCGAACCCACACUCACAAAGAGCCGAGGGGAGAGAGGGUGCGCAGACGGCCAGCCGGGCCGCGCCAGGGACAUACUGGAGACAGGAAGUGGCUGAGAGGGGGAGAGAGUUGGAGAGAGACGGCCGCGGAGGACACGGGGACGGGAAAGUCUGAGAGACGGGGAGAGCCUGACCCGGCGGGACACAGGCAGAAAGAAACACGCGAGCCAGACAGACGCAGAAGAAACGUGCCUGGUACUGGAUAGGAACUUCAUGGAAUGGAGCUAAUGGGCCGUAGGGCAGGUUUGAGUCGUGCCACCCUGGAGCAGAAGGUGGAGGGUAGGGAUAAGGGUGGAGAGAAACUAGGAGAAAAGCACAGGAUGUAGAGGUCUAUUCGGCAUAAUCUUCUCCCUCAUUUUCAUCUUCACCAUCAACAGAGAGAGCAGCAUACUUGCUUGCAGAACUGAACUUCUGUAACACAACGAGAGUGACAGGAUAAUGAAGGCCCUGAAUUAUCACAUCAAAACCCAAGACACAGGAUACUGAUCCUUUGGCAAUGGGGGAUGACAGUCAGAUGACACCCACUUGCUUGCUCAUCAGCAUUGUCCAUUGGAGAGGAGCUAGGGAAGAGGGUCAGAGGCACAUGCGAUCUUACUAUAGUCUCAUACCACCUCUACACCUUGCAGAAGGGAUGAGAACAAAGGAAGACAGAAACCAGGAAAAAGCUAAACUUCUUUCGCUAUUUCAGUAAAGACCAAUGUCUUAUUUCCAAACACUUUGUAUUCCAAAUGGAAAGAAGUCCAACGGCAAAAAGUUUAGAAUACUAAGAAUUUUUAAUUCUUAGUAAGAAUACUUAGAAUUCUAAGAAUUUUUCUUAGAAUGAAAAAUUGGGAGCAGCCUUCAACACUUACGGAAGCUGGAUUUUCCUCAGGUUUCUUUGGCUCAGGUGCAGAUCUGGAGUCUUGAUCCUUUUUGCCAUCUUUCCUGCAGAGACGUAAGCAUAAAACCAUGUCUUUAGGAAAGGACUCGCCUAAUACAAACAUGUGUAUGCAUGCAGUUUCAAGGCACUGAACAGGCACCUCUAGUCAACAGUCCUUGUUGUCUGGAUGAUGUAUUACUUCUAGAUUUUCAGAAUCUUAACUGUCUACGUUGGCUGACUUUAGUUUGCUCACAAUGAGCGAUCUGGCAGUGCUCUGAGAACCAAGAACUUAAUUUCUUAAUUACACAAACAUGUGGAUCAGAGGAAAGAUGAGAAAGAGAACAAGCAUACCUAUCUGACUCCUUCCAGUGGUCUCUGUUCCCUCCGUCGCCUGGACCACGGCUAGAGUUCCCAGUUUGGCCUUUUGGGGCAUUCAUCCCAU
This 1358-nucleotide long non-coding RNA is filed under the name Homo sapiens (human). Its description in RNAcentral is "HSALNT0189272". The record is from RNAcentral. Lineage: Eukaryota; Metazoa; Chordata; Mammalia; Primates; Hominidae.